ACAAAAUUAAAAUUAAAAAAACAAGGGAACAAGGUGUCGUUUUGUGGAAGAUUUGUGUUAGGGUUGAAAAAUAGUGAUAUUCAGUUCUCUUGUCCCUCUCCUUCCACACAGAAACGGCGCGGUCGUUCAUCUCACCAUCUCUUCUUCAUCGUGAACCCACCAUCUACAACUCUCUGUCUUCUUCAAGCUUUUCUAACAACAUAUCCAAAUUCUCUCUUCGUCUCUAUCUUCUAUCAAACUCAAAUUGCGGCGCCGCUUCUGUUCACCGGCGAAGAACACAAAGACCUCGGCAGCUGUAUCAACGGCUGA
Vicia faba (fava bean) is the source of this 309-nucleotide non-coding RNA. The record is from the annotation of a GenBank genome assembly. Lineage: Eukaryota; Viridiplantae; Streptophyta; Magnoliopsida; Fabales; Fabaceae.